Molecule: ribosomal RNA, 2022 nt
Filed under: Enterobacter hormaechei
Lineage: Bacteria; Pseudomonadati; Pseudomonadota; Gammaproteobacteria; Enterobacterales; Enterobacteriaceae
Description: partial 23S ribosomal RNA
Rfam family: Bacterial large subunit ribosomal RNA
Source: RNAcentral
GGGGAAACCCAGUGUGUUCCGACACACUAUCGUUAACUGAAUACAUAGGUUAACGAGGCGAACCGGGGGAACUGAAACAUCUAAGUACCCCGAGGAAAAGAAAUCAACCGAGAUUCCCCCAGUAGCGGCGAGCGAACGGGGAGCAGCCCGGAGUCUGAAUCAGCUUGUGUGUUAGUGGAACGGUCUGGAAAGUCCGACGGUACAGGGUGAUAGUCCCGUACACGAAAAUGCACAUGCUGUGAACUCGAAGAGUAGGGCGGGACACGUGGUAUCCUGUCUGAAUAUGGGGGGACCAUCCUCCAAGGCUAAAUACUCCUGACUGACCGAUAGUGAACCAGUACCGUGAGGGAAAGGCGAAAAGAACCCCGGCGAGGGGAGUGAAAAAGAACCUGAAACCGUGUACGUACAAGCAGUGGGAGCACCUUCGGGUGUGACUGCGUACCUUUUGUAUAAUGGGUCAGCGACUUAUAUUCUGUAGCAAGGUUAACCGUAUAGGGGAGCCGAAGGGAAACCGAGUCUUAACUGGGCGUUAAGUUGCAGGGUAUAGACCCGAAACCCGGUGAUCUAGCCAUGGGCAGGUUGAAGGUUGGGUAACACUAACUGGAGGACCGAACCGACUAAUGUUGAAAAAUUAGCGGAUGACCUGUGGCUGGGGGUGAAAGGCCAAUCAAACCGGGAGAUAGCUGGUUCUCCCCGAAAGCUAUUUAGGUAGCGCCUCGUGAACUCAUCUUCGGGGGUAGAGCACUGUUUCGGCUAGGGGGCCAUCCCGGCUUACCAACCCGAUGCAAACUACGAAUACCGAAGAAUGUUAUCACGGGAGACACACGGCGGGUGCUAACGUCCGUCGUGAAGAGGGAAACAACCCAGACCGCCAGCUAAGGUCCCAAAGUCAUGGUUAAGUGGGAAACGAUGUGGGAAGGCACAGACAGCCAGGAUGUUGGCUUAGAAGCAGCCAUCAUUUAAAGAAAGCGUAAUAGCUCACUGGUCGAGUCGGCCUGCGCGGAAGAUGUAACGGGGCUAAACCAUGCACCGAAGCUGCGGCAGCGACGCUUAUGCGUUGUUGGGUAGGGGAGCGUUCUGUAAGCCGUUGAAGGUGUGCUGUGAGGCAUGCUGGAGGUAUCAGAAGUGCGAAUGCUGACAUAAGUAACGAUAAAGCGGGUGAAAAGCCCGCUCGCCGGAAGACCAAGGGUUCCUGUCCAACGUUAAUCGGGGCAGGGUGAGUCGACCCCUAAGGCGAGGCCGAAAGGCGUAGUCGAUGGGAAACAGGUUAAUAUUCCUGUACUUGGUGUUACUGCGAAGGGGGGACGGAGAAGGCUAUGUCAGCCGGGCGACGGUUGUCCCGGUUUAAGCAUGUAGGCGGAGGUUCCAGGUAAAUCCGGUACCUUAUUAACGCUGAGGUGUGAUGACGAGGCACUACGGUGCUGAAGUGAUAAAUGCCCUGCUUCCAGGAAAAGCCUCUAAGCAUCAGGUAACACGAAAUCGUACCCCAAACCGACACAGGUGGUCAGGUAGAGAAUACCAAGGCGCUUGAGAGAACUCGGGUGAAGGAACUAGGCAAAAUGGUGCCGUAACUUCGGGAGAAGGCACGCUGAUAUGUAGGUGAAGCCCCUGCGGGCGGAGCUGAAAUCAGUCGAAGAUACCAGCUGGCUGCAACUGUUUAUUAAAAACACAGCACUGUGCAAACACGAAAGUGGACGUAUACGGUGUGACGCCUGCCCGGUGCCGGAAGGUUAAUUGAUGGGGUUAGCGGCAACGCGAAGCUCUUGAUCGAAGCCCCGGUAAACGGCGGCCGUAACUAUAACGGUCCUAAGGUAGCGAAAUUCCUUGUCGGGUAAGUUCCGACCUGCACGAAUGGCGUAAUGAUGGCCAGGCUGUCUCCACCCGAGACUCAGUGAAAUUGAACUCGCUGUGAAGAUGCAGUGUACCCGCGGCAAGACGGAAAGACCCCGUGAACCUUUACUAUAGCUUGACACUGAACACUGGUCCUUGAUGUGUAGGAUAGGUGGGAGGCUUUGAAGCGUG